GAGUUUGAUCCUGGCUCAGGAUGAACGCUGGCGGCGUGCCUAACACAUGCAAGUCGAGCGAAGCACUUAAGUCUGAUUCUUCGGAUGAAGGCUUUUGUGACUGAGCGGCGGACGGGUGAGUAACGCGUGGGCAACCCGCCUUACACAGGGGGAUAACAGUUAGAAAUGACUGCUAAUACCGCAUAAGACCACAAAACUGCAUGGUUUUGUGGUAAAAACUCCGGUGGUGUAAGAUGGGCCCGCGUCUGAUUAGGUAGUUGGUGGGGUAACGGCUCACCAAGCCGACGAUCAGUAGCCGACCUGAGAGGGUGACCGGCCACAUUGGGACUGAGACACGGCCCAGACUCCUACGGGAGGCAGCAGUGGGGAAUAUUGCACAAUGGGGGAAACCCUGAUGCAGCGACGCCGCGUGAGCGAUGAAGUAUUUCGGUAUGUAAAGCUCUAUCAGCAGGGAAGAAAAUGACGGUACCUGACUAAGAAGCCCCGGCUAACUACGUGCCAGCAGCCGCGGUAAUACGUAGGGGGCAAGCGUUAU
Molecule: ribosomal RNA, 535 nt
Filed under: uncultured bacterium
Lineage: Bacteria
Description: bacterial SSU rRNA
Rfam family: Bacterial small subunit ribosomal RNA
Source: RNAcentral